RNAcentral lists this ribosomal RNA (71 nucleotides) under Niallia endozanthoxylica. RNAcentral describes it as "Bacterial small subunit ribosomal RNA". It matches the Rfam family "Bacterial small subunit ribosomal RNA", at positions 1 to 71 of the family's 1533-position model. Lineage: Bacteria; Bacillati; Bacillota; Bacilli; Caryophanales; Bacillaceae. The record is from Rfam by way of RNAcentral.
CUUUUGGAGAGUUUGAUCCUGGCUCAGGACGAACGCUGGCGGCGUGCCUAAUACAUGCAAGUCGAGCGAAC